AAAUAGAAGAAAUAAGCCAGGGGUGGUGGCACACAUCUGUAAUCCCAGCAUUUGGGAGGCUGAGGCAAGAGGACUGCUGCAAGUUCAAGGCCAGCCUGGGCAACAUAGUGAGACCCUGUCACAAAAAAAAGAAGAAAAAGAAAAAAAGAAAAAGAAGCAAUAUAAAUCUUCUGUGACUAUGCUAAGGGAUCCUUAUAACUACAAAAAGUAAGCUGCAUGCCAAUGAUUAACUGAAGUGGAAACUGCUGCCGCCGGGAGACGGCAGCACCCGAAGGUGGGGAGGCGCCUUGCCCUGGCUCUGCGGCGGGGCUGGGCGUCUCGCUGCCCUUCCGGGGACCUGCGGGACACAGCCUCUUCGUGUCACCCUCGGGCCUCGUGGUCUGGAAAGGGCUUCUCAGAGCCAGCAGCGGGAAGGCGGCGGCGCGCGGGGAGAGGAGCCGCGUUCGACGCAGGCGCUUCCCGUGGCGGACGCCGUGUCUCCGGCUCAGUGCGAGGCCGUCUCCGGGGUCCGCGGCCAGGGCUUGGCCCCGGGUAAAAUGCGGUGACCUCGGGCAAACACGUGCUCUACGUGCUGUUUAUUUUCUUCGUUCUCACUUUGCCUUCUCCUCCUAGGCCUCCGUCACACUCCUCCUCCUCGCGCCCUCCUCCUCUCUCUUCUGCCCCUGAACUUGCCUGAUGGUGAUGAGCAUUUCUUGGGGCUCGGCCCCGGGACGCACACAGUCCAUCCUCCGCCGUGCACCGCCCGCUGAGCCCUGGAAGUGGCCGCCGGUGAGCACACGGAAACCGCGCCUUUGGAUACCGGAAGUUCUCUGAGUGAGCCUGGCAAGCAGAGACAGCCGACUGCCACAGCCAGAGAUACUCGACCUGCGGAGGGAAACUUGUUAUUCUUGGAGAGAAGGAAGAUGAAACUGUCGGUUUUUCACACCGUGGAAGCUGUGGAUAACAUCAGUGAACGAACCCAUUUGCCGUCUGUGGCUGGAAGCCCGACGUUCUGUGGAAGCUGGAAUUACUUGGGUGCGGCAGUGGUUUGGAGCCCUGCUUCGGACGUGUACUACAACUUUUCAGUCUCAGAGCCUCGGAGUGAGAAAAUUCACAGGACUUCCUCUCCGGUGCAGCUGCCACGCACUCCUUGCCAUGGCACCUUGUGGACGCCUUCCUUUGUGCCUUUCUGCGCUUCUGUCCGCGGUAUCACACCAGUGACGCUGUGCGGUGUGCCUCACCGUUUCCUGGUACUCGCCCCUGAGGAGUUGCGCUGUGAGCUGAGGACCCGCGGGCCCCCGCCGCACUCUCCUGCGCAGGUUGCUGCUGUCGAUGCAGCCGUGGAUCUCCAGGAUCUCCAGGCCGAAAGCUCUCUGCUGUCAUCGCUGCACUCGCCCUGAGCCCUGGCUUCCUCCUCUGCAAACCCUCAGCCUUAGAGUCGCUGACAGGCCCAGCACACCGCCUGUAUUUUUCUGAGUGUCUUAAAUUUCAGCCUUCCACAUUUCUCAGAAACCCCAUCCUCCAUGUAGUCUAAGUGCACGGGGGUCAUUAUAUUACUCUUUUGGAGUAAUUCUGACGUCCAAACAAAGUUGGAAGACUUUGCUUACAACUUUCCUAGUGCUAUUUUUUUUUUUUUUCUAUCUUUAGUGUAGAUGAUGCAUUUUGACAAGUCCUUGACAGUGAAAUCUGAUUUUGCUGGCCUAGAAAAUACACAAAAAUUUGUAACUUGUCAAGACUUGAAUUUCUCUAUCACUGUGCUAUCUUUCAUCUGAGACGCUUGUGCAUUAACGCCUUUAAAAACUAUAAGCUGGGAAUGAGACGCUGAUGUUGCCUGCGGAAUUUUACGCUGUUAUUUAUUUUAUUUAUUUAUUUAUUUAUUUAUUUUUUUGUUUUGUUUUUUGGUUUUUCUCCGGUACCGGGAACCGAACUCACGACCUUGCGCUUGCCAGGCAGGCGCUUU
Molecule: long non-coding RNA, 1939 nt
Organism: Chinchilla lanigera (long-tailed chinchilla)
Lineage: Eukaryota; Metazoa; Chordata; Mammalia; Rodentia; Chinchillidae
Source: Ensembl